Molecule: ribosomal RNA, 164 nt
Filed under: uncultured bacterium
Lineage: Bacteria
Description: partial 16S rRNA
Rfam family: Bacterial small subunit ribosomal RNA
Source: RNAcentral
UAGGGAAUCUUCGGCAAUGGACGAAAGUCUGACCGAGCAACGCCGCGUGAGUGAAGAAGGUUUUCGGAUCGUAAACUCUGUUGGUAGAGAAGAACGUUGGUGAGAGUGGAAAGCUCAUCAAGUGACGGUAACUACCCAGAAAGGGACGGCUAACUACGUGCCCG